CCUACGGGCGGCAGCAGUGAGGAAUAUUGGUCAAUGGACGCAAGUCUGAACCAGCCAUGCCGCGUGCAGGAAGACGGCUCUAUGAGUUGUAAACUGCUUUUGUACGAGGGUAAACGCAGAUACGCGUAUCUGUCUGAAAGUAUCGUACGAAUAAGGAUCGGCUAACUCCGUGCCAGCAGCCGCGGUAAUACGGAGGAUUCAAGCGUUAUCCGGAUUUAUUGGGUUUAAAGGGUGCGUAGGCGGUCGGAUAAGUUAGAUGUGAAAUCCCGAGGCUCAACUUCGGAAUUGCCUCUGAGACUGUCAGGCUAGAGUUUAGUUGCGGUAGGCGGAAUGUAUGGUGUAGCGGUGAAAUGCAUAGAGAUCAUACAGAACACCGAUCGCGAAGGCAGCUUACCAAACUACGACUGACGUUGAGGCACGAAAGCGUGGGGAGCAAACAGGAUUAGAUACCCUUGUAGUC
This 460-nucleotide ribosomal RNA is filed under the name uncultured bacterium. RNAcentral describes it as "partial 16S ribosomal RNA". It matches the Rfam family "Bacterial small subunit ribosomal RNA", at positions 338 to 795 of the family's 1533-position model. The record is from RNAcentral.